Molecule: long non-coding RNA, 730 nt
Filed under: Cricetulus griseus (Chinese hamster)
Lineage: Eukaryota; Metazoa; Chordata; Mammalia; Rodentia; Cricetidae
Description: lncRNA (ENSCGRG00015039594.1)
Source: RNAcentral
GGGAGACUGAAACGACGGGUUUGCCUCUAGCUGAAUUGGCUGGUGAGCUCUAGAGAUAGUGAGAGAGCCUGCCUUAAAAAGGAUACGGUGCAGAGUUAAGGGGAAGAAAUCAGUGUUCAGAUCUGGGCUCCACGUGCAUGAGGCCCUGAACUUACGUCUGCGAAUGUGCACGCACGCACGCUCGCACGCACGGACAGAAGCAUUAGAGCUCACCCCUAACUCCUUCAGUUCUACACAGACCUAACUAGUUCCUUCAUUAAAAGGAGCUAAUAGUUUGUAAUUUUGGCAUAUAAUUCUUCCAGCACUGUGCGUGGUUGGUUGUCCUGUUUCAGGGUAACUUGCCCCUGUGCCGUGUCGGGCUUUUAUAUUUUAAUAGGAUUCUUUUCCGUGUUCUGGACCAGCCUGGAUUGAAAUAUAUCAGACGUUCAGGAUGCUCCUGAGUACCGAUGGUCUACACUUGACCACAGAAUGAUGCCCCCUGGGCUGGCGUGGCCAUAGGUUGUGAAGAUAAACGAGCCAGACAACUCUCCCUGUCCUGGCUGUUCUAGACUGCAGACAAUCCCCCAUGGCAUCGGUUGCCUCUGUGAUCACUGUGGUGGACCACGAUGCUGGUAGCAUGCAGCUAGCUCCUUCACAGCCAUGCCCAGUGGCAGAACUAUGCCACUCUCCCGAUGGCUGUCCGGUUCACUGUAAAGUGUACUUGUUGCUAAGUAACAGUAUUUUUCACAAA